UUUUUUUUUUUUUUUUUUUUUGGUCCCACCUUUCAGAAUCCAGUUCCAGAUUCUAGACUUGAGGGUUCUGGGCUGUCGGUCUGUAGAAGCGAAGGAGAGAAGGGUGAGUGGCUUGGCUAUGGGAAGCAUGAUGGGGGCGGUUGCAGUGCUAUUUUUAAAAAACGGCUUUCAGCAGGGAAGCCUUUAGCCAUGUUAGUCUUGCUCCCCUCAUGGUUUUGCAGACUCAAAUCCAGGCCAAGUGUAUGGCUGUCUGAGGUAUUGGAACAGAAGGAGGUCCAUUCCUGUUGGUGACAACACCGUGGCCCUGUUCUGGGAUGAGCGAGGUGUAAAGCAUCCCCACCCAUGCAACUCAUCUUCAGGAACCAGUAGCUUUAACCAAGAGAACAAGAAACUCAAUGAGCAGCAGCCUCAACAACUGGCUCUUUCUGUAAGGAGAGGGGAGUCGGGAAGGACAGUGUCCCAAAGGGAAGUGGAGGCGCCAUCAAUCUGGCCUAGACAGCAGGUUUCCCCCAAGAAAGAGCAGCUGAGUCCUUGCAUCUUGUGGCAGCUGGUGUGCCCAGCACUGAGUCUGUAGGAGCUGAAGCCAGCCCGGACCCUUCUCAUGGGCAGUGCCCACCUGUGCUGAAGUCCUGCAGCGGUGGCGGUGUGAGGUGAGUAAUGGAGUCCAGGGCAGGGAGUUAGGGAUCUCCAAAUCCAGGCAAAUGCUGCUUUU
This 712-nucleotide long non-coding RNA is filed under the name Rhinopithecus bieti (black snub-nosed monkey). RNAcentral describes it as "lncRNA (ENSRBIG00000046626.1)". Lineage: Eukaryota; Metazoa; Chordata; Mammalia; Primates; Cercopithecidae. The record is from RNAcentral.